Molecule: ribosomal RNA, 524 nt
Filed under: uncultured bacterium
Lineage: Bacteria
Description: partial 16S ribosomal RNA
Rfam family: Bacterial small subunit ribosomal RNA
Source: RNAcentral
UGGGGAAUAUUGCACAAUGGGCGAAAGCCUGAUGCAGCAACGCCGCGUGAGUGAUGAAGGUCUUCGGAUUGUAAAGCUCUGUCUUUUGGGACGAUAAUGACGGUACCAAAGGAGGAAGCCACGGCUAACUACGUGCCAGCAGCCGCGGUAAUACGUAGGUGGCGAGCGUUGUCCGGAUUUACUGGGCGUAAAGGGUGCGUAGGCGGAUGUUUAAGUGAGAUGUGAAAUACCCGGGCUUAACUUGGGUGCUGCAUUUCAAACUGGAUAUCUAGAGUGCAGGAGAGGAGAAUGGAAUUCCUAGUGUAGCGGUGAAAUGCGUAGAGAUUAGGAAGAACACCAGUGGCGAAGGCGAUUCUCUGGACUGUAACUGACGCUGAGGCACGAAAGCGUGGGUAGCAAACAGGAUUAGAUACCCUGGUAGUCCACGCCGUAAACGAUGAGUACUAGGUGUAGGAGGUAUCGACCCCUUCUGUGCCGCAGUAAACACAUUAAGUACUCCGCCUGGGAAGUACGAUCGCAAGAUU